This 114-nucleotide ribosomal RNA is filed under the name Acinetobacter baumannii. The record is from RNAcentral. Lineage: Bacteria; Pseudomonadati; Pseudomonadota; Gammaproteobacteria; Moraxellales; Moraxellaceae.
GCUGGCGACCAUAGCAAGAGUGAACCACCUGAUCCUUCCCGAACUCAGAAGUGGAAACCUCUGGCGCUGAUGGUAGUGGGGAUUACCCAUGUGAGGAGUAAGUCAUCGCCAGCU